Molecule: small nucleolar RNA, 92 nt
Filed under: Hordeum vulgare
Lineage: Eukaryota; Viridiplantae; Streptophyta; Magnoliopsida; Poales; Poaceae
Also listed under: 1 other name
Description: Small nucleolar RNA R38
Rfam family: Small nucleolar RNA R38
About the family: snoR38 is a C/D box small nucleolar RNA conserved across yeast, human, Arabidopsis and rice. It is encoded in the intron of elongation factor-1 gamma in both pombe and cerevisiae. snoR38 guides the methylation of 2'-O-ribose sites in 28S rRNA.
Source: RNAcentral
GUAUGUGGAUGAUGAGAUGACAUGUAAAAAUACAGUUAUCCCUGUCUUACUUCCUUGGAUGGGUGCUGUGAAUACUUCGACUGGACCCUUGC